Myodes glareolus (Bank vole) is the source of this 873-nucleotide RNA transcript. RefSeq lists it as uncharacterized. The record is from RefSeq and is a predicted model, not a curated record. NCBI's taxonomy places the organism in Eukaryota, Metazoa, Chordata, Mammalia, Rodentia, Cricetidae.
GUGUUUACAUUCGUUUUCUGCCUGGAAACUUGGUUUCUCUGGGUCAGAGCUUUGGAACGACUGACGGAUUGGAAAUUCACUGGUACAAACUCGGUCAUAAAGGCUUCCCUGGAGCCGGACGACUGGUAGUCGACCUGCACGACUUUCUCCGGGUUUCAGCACAGGGGACGUCCGACUGACAGCCGGGCGAUGACAGCAACAGCAGCUUUGAGACGUCUGGGAGGUCCCAGAAAUCACUUCAAGUCUCCAGUCCAGGACACAGCUGCCUAGGGGAAUCCCAGGGACAGGCGGCAGAGUUUGCAUGGCCUGCAAGGUGAUGGACUCCAAUGUGAUCAUUGCAGAAUUCGCCAAACUCCAAACCACUGGCAGUUGGAACGCACAAGCCCCCUUCUGACGAGGAGGCAAGGGAAGCAAGCUGAGAGGAGGCCCAUUACUUGGCUAGAGAGAGAUGGACCACCUUCUCAGGUCUUCUGGAAGUUGCUGAAACAUGGUGAGGAAGGAAUGUCAUCACUCAUAAGAUGGAAUCAAGAAACUCUUACAACGGAACUAAACCUGAAGUACUUCAAGCCCUGGGACCCCACUUUUGGGUCAUGCUGUUCUCUCUCUCUCUCUCUCUCUCUCUCUCUCUCUCUCUCUCUCUUUCUCUCUCUCUCUCUCUCCAUCUCUCCUGUAUUUCUCUUUUCUUAGCACAGGGAAUUGUACACAGGAAGUGAUUUAACAGGUAUAAUUUUGGUCCCAAAUUAGCAAUGUUUUAUGAAGAUGUUAUUAGAAACUUAGGACUGUCCUGCCAGAGUCACUACAUGCCACCUGGGGAAUCCAGGGAAUGCUCAUGGAACCCUUAAGUCCCGUUAAUAAAAAAUAACAAAGAACUGA